This 1319-nucleotide long non-coding RNA is filed under the name Homo sapiens (human). RNAcentral describes it as "novel transcript". Lineage: Eukaryota; Metazoa; Chordata; Mammalia; Primates; Hominidae. The record is from RNAcentral.
UUUUUUUUUUUUUUUUUUUUUUUUUUUUUUUUUGAGACAGUCUUACUCUGUCGCCAGGCUGGAGUGCAGUGGUGUGGUCUUGGCUCACUGCAACCUCCACCUCCCAGGUUCAAGCAAUUCUCCUGCCUCAGCCUCCUGAGUAGUGGGACUACACGUGCCCGCCACCACGCCUGGCUAAUUUUUGUAUUUUUAGUAAAGACGGGGUUUCACCAUGUUGGACAGGAUGGUCUUGAUCUCCUGACCUCGUGAUCUGCCCUCCUCGGCCUCCCGAAGUGCUGGGAUUACAGGCGUGAGCCACCACGCCCAGCCCUUUCUCUUUUUUUUUUUUUUACUCACCACUAUACUAACAAGGGCUCUUUUCAUUUUCUUAGUGGUGGUGGUUGAAUUGUAAAAGUUUUUUACUUUGAUGAAGUUUAGUUUAUCAGUUGUUUCUUUUAUGGAUCAUGCCUUUGGUGUCGUAUCUUAAGAACUUUUUGAAGUCUUCUUGUUUUAUUCUUACAUGUAGGUAUGUGAUCCACUUUGUGUUCAUUUUUGGGCAUGGUGUAAGGGAAGAGUCUAAAUUCAUCUUUUCAUGGACCGAUUUCCAUUUGUCCAAGCACCAUUUGUUGUAGAGUAUCUUUUCCCCAUUGAAUUGCUUUGAUACCUUUGUCUAAAUCAAUUGGGCAUAAAUAUAAGGGUUUAUUUCUAAACUCUUAGUUCUGUUCCAUUGAUCUGUGCCUGUCCAUGAUUGUGUGUUAUUGAUGACUCUGGCUUUAAAGUAUUUGUAAGUCAUUAAAUCAGGUAAUGUAACACCUCCAACUUUGUUAUUUUUCAAAAUUCUUUUGACUUUUCUAGAUACUUUGCAUUCCCAUGUCACUUUUAUGAUCAGAUUGUCAGUUACUACAGAAAAGCCUUCUGAGGUUUUAAAUAUAUAUUGUGUUUAAUUUACAGAUCAAGUUGAGAAUUGCCAUCUUGACAAUAUGAAGUCUUCCAGUCUGUGAACAUGGAGUUUGUGUCCAUUUAUUUAGAUAUUCCUUGAUUUCUCUUAGCAAUAUUUUGUUAUUUUCAGUAUAUACAUCUUACACUCCUUUUGUUAAAAUGUUCAUAUUACUUUGCUAUUACGAAUGGAAUUGCUUGCUGAAUUUUGUUUUCAGACUUUUUGGUGCUAGUAUAUAGAAAUACCAUUGAUUUUUGUUUAUUGAUCUUAUAUCCUGUGACCUGUCUAAAUUCAAUCUGUUAGUUUUAUCAUUUUUUAAAAAAAUGUCCGUGUGUGUCUUCCUUGAGAUUUUCUACAUUAUCAUGUCAUCUGCAAAUAAAGACAUUUACUUCUUUCUUUCCAA